This 253-nucleotide ribosomal RNA is filed under the name uncultured bacterium. RNAcentral describes it as "partial 16S ribosomal RNA". It matches the Rfam family "Bacterial small subunit ribosomal RNA", at positions 524 to 776 of the family's 1533-position model. The record is from RNAcentral.
UACGGGGGGGGCAAGCGUUGUUCGGAAUUACUGGGCGUAAAGGGCUCGUAGGCGGCCAACUAAGUCGGAUGUGAAAUCCCCAAGCUUAACUUGGGAACUGCAUCCGAUACUGGAUGGCUUGAAUCCGGGAGAGGGAUGCAGAAUUCCAGGUGUAGCGGUGAAAUGCGUAGAUAUCUGGAGGAAUACCAGUGGCGAAGGCGGCAUCCUGGACCGGCAUUGACGCUGAGGAGCGAAAGCUAGGGGAGCAAACGGG